CGGCAAGGGUGAGGAAGAGGAGCAACGGCGUGGCGGUGCCUUCCCUUCGAAGGUCUCGCGUGCGUUGGUUUUGGGCUCAAGGGGAAGGGGAGAGCGCGCGGGCGGGCGGGCGGGUGCCCUAAAGGAAAGAAGGGGCGGAGGUGCGCGGGAGAAGUCUAGGUAGGUAGGCAUUCGCGGAGCUUCGUUAGGGGGACGAAAGGGUAAGCUAGGUGGACGAGGGCGGCGGCGGCAGCGGCCGGCAAGUAGACUGGUCCCCGCUUGCUAAGGGGGGAGGGGAGAGACGGAGGAGGAGCGACAACGUCCACUAAGGCAGCCCCCGCCCGGUGUACCGCCGCCGCGAGCGCCACUGCCUGCUCGACCGGGACGGAGAGGCGCGCCACCCCCUGGACCGCCGCCGACGGCCCCAGAGCGCCCUCCUCCAGAAGCAGUAGUGCGUCACGCGGAGCGAGCCACCCUUCAACGGAAAACUACUGCGCAGGCACCCACGACAAGACAGACAAUAUUUUUUACAACUCUCGAAACCUCUAUUCAACCAACGACUUUAAUCGGCUCACGACUUUCGACCACCUUAACACGACCAUGUCUCGAAGUGUGGGAGGUGACUGGUCUUCGGUUUGUUAAUAUAGCUCGCGGUCGAUGAGUACCCACCAAAACAACUUCACGUUCGAAGACGAUGUUUGAGCGUUCUAUCGCACGUUAGACAAUGAUAGUUCCGUUUCUUCGGAAGAACCUAAUACCCAAGAAGGAAAGGGGACUUCUUUCGUCAUUUCCGAGAAGGUUUCUAACUUUAACUGCUACUACUACUUGACUAACUGCUUCUGUCGGAGAACUGACUCCUCCUGAACUUCUUCGGUGUCGAAGGUCAACAUCCUCUAACACUCCACCCUCGAUGUUUCUUCCGUACGUUCUUGACGUCAACACCGUCCCGGCUCCGACUCGUCUUCCACCUCUUCGACCCCGAGUGACGUCUUGUCUAACUAUUGGGACAGAGUCGAACACCGUCAACACCCAACCCGCUGCGAAAGGCUACGUCGUGGACGGGUAUGUCUCCGGACCGCGGCAAGUUCAACCCGCUCUUCCAAUGGAACAGACUGUUGAAGGAGAGUCGGCUGUAUACUACUGCCUGUCGUCAACGCCUAUACUUUACGCGGAACAACCUAAACAACCAAGCAAUCCUUCUAUAUAGACGCAUACCAAAAAAGCACCACUACCACCACCACUACCACCAAUGUCGUUUUCUUCCCCUCACGCAAACCUCAUCGUCGAGCACAAUCGUACAGCACGCACAGGAACGAGAGGGUGGAUCCAACUUCGUUCUUAACCUAGCACACACGCGGAGACAUAAGCCGUUCUUCUAAUGUACGUACAUUAAACUGCUUCUUUGUAUACUACCUUUCUGAAACCAGACGAUGUACAAGAACAAAACGAGGGUAGACCAAAUAUGAUGAUGAGGGAGGCAAGGGAUUAUAUUCUGAAAAUCGAAAAAAUAAUCAUACAUACAAUUCUGUGUGAAAUCAUACAUAAAAUGAAUAAAUCACGAGGAGGGCAUGAUUUAAUGAACAGCGUCUUGAUUUACAUAGAUCUGUAUAAAAACCAUAAAAGUCAAAACCUAUGUAGGUUAAAAUAGAUAAACACACUGUUCAUAG
RNAcentral lists this ribosomal RNA (1646 nucleotides) under Triticum aestivum (bread wheat). Its description in RNAcentral is "partial small subunit ribosomal RNA". Lineage: Eukaryota; Viridiplantae; Streptophyta; Magnoliopsida; Poales; Poaceae. The record is from RNAcentral.